This 552-nucleotide ribosomal RNA is filed under the name Trichoderma cf. harzianum ROG-2010. Its description in RNAcentral is "eukaryotic LSU rRNA". The stretch from base 212 to 365 matches the Rfam family "5.8S ribosomal RNA". The record is from RNAcentral. Lineage: Eukaryota; Fungi; Ascomycota; Sordariomycetes; Hypocreales; Hypocreaceae.
GGAUCAUUACCGAGUUUACAACUCCCAAACCCAAUGUGAACGUUACCAAACUGUUGCCUCGGCGGGAUCUCUGCCCCGGGUGCGUCGCAGCCCCGGACCAAGGCGCCCGCCGGAGGACCAACCAAAACUCUUAUUGUAUACCCCCUCGCGGGUUUUUUUUAUAAUCUGAGCCUUCUCGGCGCCUCUCGUAGGCGUUUCGAAAAUGAAUCAAAACUUUCAACAACGGAUCUCUUGGUUCUGGCAUCGAUGAAGAACGCAGCGAAAUGCGAUAAGUAAUGUGAAUUGCAGAAUUCAGUGAAUCAUCGAAUCUUUGAACGCACAUUGCGCCCGCCAGUAUUCUGGCGGGCAUGCCUGUCCGAGCGUCAUUUCAACCCUCGAACCCCUCCGGGGGGUCGGCGUUGGGGAUCGGCCCUCCCUUAGCGGGUGGCCGUCUCCGAAAUACAGUGGCGGUCUCGCCGCAGCCUCUCCUGCGCAGUAGUUUGCACACUCGCAUCGGGAGCGCGGCGCGUCCACAGCCGUUAAACACCCAACUUCUGAAAUGUUGACCUCGGA